Molecule: long non-coding RNA, 638 nt
Organism: Mus musculus (house mouse)
Lineage: Eukaryota; Metazoa; Chordata; Mammalia; Rodentia; Muridae
Product: predicted gene, 34175
Exons: 3
Source: RefSeq, a predicted model, not a curated record
AGCCAAACAGUGGAUGGAGCUUGGGGACUCUUAUGGAAGAAUAAGAGGAAGAAAUGUGGUCACUAGGAGGCUAGGACCUCCACAGAAAGAACAACAGAGUCAACUAACCUGGACCCUCGAGGCUCCCAGAGACUGAACUACCAACCAAAGAGCGCACGAGGGCUAGACCUAGCCCCACCCCCCCAUACACACACAUAUGUAGCAGCUGUGCAGCUUGAACAUAUGAGUUAAUUUUCUUUAGCCAGAAAUCAGGGGUGAUGUCACUGCAGGAAGUUCCUGACCGGAUUAAGGGCAGGACAAGCCCUUUGGUUUAAUUUACCACUGCGGGUACUCUCGAUUCAGAAGCUGUAAGAGAAGAUCGUUCCACACCUACUUAGGAUGGCUGAGCCCAUAUAGAAAUGCCACAAAAUCCAAAGUAACAACAACAACCAAAAGGUAGUUGGCUAUGUUCCAUGUCAAAGAUGCAUCUCAAUUGAAGAGGACUAUACUUGUAUAUUGAAGAGGACUAUACUUGUAUAUUGAAGAGGACUAUACUUGUAUAUUGAAGAGGACUAUGCUUGUAUAUUGAAGAGGACUAUACUAUAUACAUAGGUUGUUUCACCUUAGGAAACUGACUGGGCUGAAUGAGGUUUGGCAAG